GGCGAGGGGAGUGAAAAAGAACCUGAAACCGUGUACGUACAAGCAGUGGGAGCACAGGUUUACCUGUGUGACUGCGUACCUUUUGUAUAAUGGGUCAGCGACUUAUAUUCUGUAGCAAGGUUAACCGAAUAGGGGAGCCGUAGGGAAACCGAGUCUUAACCGGGCGUUAAGUUGCAGGGUAUAGACCCGAAACCCGGUGAUCUAGCCAUGGGCAGGUUGAAGGCUGGGUAACACUAACUGGAGGACCGAACCGAC
This 255-nucleotide ribosomal RNA is filed under the name Salmonella enterica subsp. enterica serovar 4,12:d:-. RNAcentral's name for it is "partial 23S ribosomal RNA". It matches the Rfam family "Bacterial large subunit ribosomal RNA", at positions 528 to 783 of the family's 2925-position model. Lineage: Bacteria; Pseudomonadati; Pseudomonadota; Gammaproteobacteria; Enterobacterales; Enterobacteriaceae. The record is from RNAcentral.